GUUGGCUCAUCCAAUGCAUUAUGUCAAUUUUUGUGAUGCUCUGGAGUUGCACCAUGGUCGACAGGUAAAUUUUUUUUUCAAAAUCUAUUCGAAUUGAAAAUCUAAAAUAGUUACAAAAUCUAUUAUAAAAAUGUGUUUCGUAAAUUUUGUAGCCAAUAACAGGUUUACAUGUCUCUUUGUGCUGUUCUGAAGUUCCACCAUGGUUGACACUUGACAGGUAAAAAAUUUUUUAAAAAAAUACACUAUUGAAAAUUGAAAAUUUAAAAAUAAUUAUAAAUUAUAUUAUAAAAACGUGUUUUUGAAAAUUUUGUAGUCAAUAACAGGUUUACAUGUUUCUACAUGGUUGUUUUAGAUCCCUUAUGCCUAUUCUGUUUUAGUUCUUAAAAUGUUUGUGUUUAACUCAAUAACAUAAUAACAAACAAUAAUAUGUUUGAAGCAUUGUUGUUGUCUCGCCGAGAUAAAGCACAAGUGGUGUAGAUUUAAUGAACUUCGCAAGCAUGAAAGCUCCUUUGCUAUAUCAAGCCAUAGUUAACAUUUUGUUAUUUGCCCUUUAUUCUUUGAAAAGUUAAUUCUAUUUUUUUGGGUUUUUUUUUGGCUUCAAUUUAAAAGGUGCGAAAAAACUCUAUUAAUAAAUAUAAAAUUACAUAUCUUUUGAGCGAGGAAACACAUAUAAUUUAUUUGGAUUAUUAUUCUUGAUUUAUUUUUUUCCUUUUGGAAUAUGUUUUCAUUUAAUUUCUACUAAUAGUUUUUACCUAAAUAAUUUUCUUUUGCAGUUUAUUUUCCAAGAAUGCUAUUUAAUUUUUUAUAAACCUUUUUUGCUAAUAUUUAUCAAAUUUUUUUUAAAACUACUAUGAUAUGAAUAAUCAGUAAAUAAAUACUAAUAUCAGCCAAAUAAAAAAUAAUGAGUAUUAUAUAAAGUUGGAUAUGAAUUCAUGGGUGAUCUGACAUUUCUUUGGCUAAAAUUACAUUUAUCUUCUUUUUUUCUUUAUUUUUAUGUGUUAAUGUGACGAUGAAUGACACAAUUAUUAGUACCCCACUUUAAAUUUUCCUUAUUGCACAUUUUAUGUGUUGCUUUUUGGUCCAUUUCUCUCAAUAGACUUUUGCCCGUUAUUUAAUUACAAUUAAUACAUUGAAUAUUGAUUCCAUUAUAACUCCUAAAUGUACAUAUUUAUUUAAUUAUUUCUGUAAUUAUUUAAUAUUUGUAACUCAUUUAUUGUGAUUGAGUCUUUUUAUCUUCAUUUUGCUUAUCUGCAUUUUUAUCAUAUUUUGAUGGAGAUAUUUAAUUGUUUAGCCUUAGAAAAAGAUGAUAAGACUUCUUCAAGUGAAGAAUGAAGACAAAAGUUAUAACUAGCUAAAAAAUUGGAAAUGAUGUCAAUAACGGGUGAAUAGGUAAUCUAGAAUACGUUUUUGAUGCCCGUGGAAGACUUUAUGUAUUUGUAAUUUCUUUGGACAAAAACAUUGUUACUUCAAUGUAAUUAAUUCUAUUUAUCCUAUUUUUAAUUAUUGUUUUGGUGAUUUAUUAAUAUGUUAUUUUGACUAAUAAUAAUA
Molecule: long non-coding RNA, 1548 nt
Filed under: Solanum tuberosum (potato)
Lineage: Eukaryota; Viridiplantae; Streptophyta; Magnoliopsida; Solanales; Solanaceae
Description: long non-coding RNA (STUB_LNC004453)
Source: RNAcentral